CCAGCUCUCACGCCAAUGCAACACUGAUGCAUCAUGGUGCUUGUGUGAAUGUGUUAUUUUAUAUAAAGAAAAUAAUCUCAGAUUUCAUUAAAAAGUUCCGCAUUUAUGUUUCAAGGAUGAACAAAAGUCUGGUUUGGAACAACAUAAAGGUGAGUGAGGAAAAUCUUUGGUUAAACUAACACAUUAGGUAAAUGGGGUUCCCACAGGGGCACCAGUAGAUCUCUGCCUGAUCUCUGAUCUUCUGCUUCUUCUGCUCCUUCCUCCAUCCCAAUUCUGGAUUAAUGAGCCACGGCAGAUGUUUCCACUUUGAAUGCUUUAGCCUCGCUCUUUUUUCUGCAGCAUCUAAAGUGAGAAAGAAAACCGUAACUAAAAUGUAAAUUAAUAAUAAAAAAACAAUGUUUGUCCAAAA
Carassius gibelio (silver crucian carp) is the source of this 409-nucleotide long non-coding RNA. RefSeq lists it as uncharacterized. The transcript has 2 exons. The record is from RefSeq and is a predicted model, not a curated record. Lineage: Eukaryota; Metazoa; Chordata; Actinopteri; Cypriniformes; Cyprinidae.